RNAcentral lists this ribosomal RNA (373 nucleotides) under uncultured organism. RNAcentral describes it as "partial 16S ribosomal RNA". It matches the Rfam family "Bacterial small subunit ribosomal RNA", at positions 527 to 896 of the family's 1533-position model. The record is from RNAcentral.
GUAGGUGGCAAGCGUUGUCCGGAAUUAUUGGGCGUAAAGCGCGCGCAGGCGGUUCUUUAGGUCUGAUGUGAAAGCCCACGGCUCAACCGUGGAGGGUCAUUGGAAACUGGAGAACUUGAGUACAGAAGAGGAAAGCGGAAUUCCACGUGUAGCGGUGAAAUGCGUAGAGAUGUGGAGGAACACCAGUGGCGAAGGCGGCUUUCUGGUCUGUAACUGACGCUGAGGCGCGAAAGCGUGGGGAGCAAACAGGGAUUAGAUACCCUGGUAGUCCACGCCGUAAACGAUGAGUGCUAAGUGUUAGGGGGGUUUCCGCCCCCUUAGUGCUGCAGCUAACGCAUUAAGCACUCCGCCUGGGAGUACGGCCGCAAGGCUG